Molecule: RNA transcript, 7858 nt
Organism: Pteronotus mesoamericanus
Lineage: Eukaryota; Metazoa; Chordata; Mammalia; Chiroptera; Mormoopidae
Gene: CACNA2D1
Gene name: calcium voltage-gated channel auxiliary subunit alpha2delta 1
Exons: 40
Source: RefSeq, a predicted model, not a curated record
CUCCGACUUGCCGGGAGAAGCCAGACGGAGCCUCUCCCUGCCACAAGUCUCUCCGCCUGCCAUCCCCCCCCUUUCCUACAUCCACCCCCACACCCCUCCCAAGUGCCGCCACCCCUCCUCCGCCCCCGCCUCCGCCUCCUCCUCUCCGGCAAUCAGGGGAAUAAAUCAGGGAAGAAAUCGAGAGGGGUGAAGAGAGAGGUAGUGAGAGAGUGCGCGGGCGCUGGGAAGCUCGCCCAGGUCGGUUUCCAAAGUCGCCCUUGAUGGCGGCGGAGGCGAGGCAGCCGCGGCGCUGAGCAGCCGACAGGCGCUGGAGGGUCCGUCCGCCGCCGCCCCUUGCCCGCGCCGCGUUCCGCCCCCGCCCCAGCCCCGCUGCGCCCCGGCCCGGGCGCGCCCGCCCUCCGGACGUCUGCGGUCCGGGCAGAGCGUGCUCCUUCUCCUCCCGCGGUCUCCAGCGCGGCUCCUUACCCCGGCUGGGGAGGGCGGCGGGAUUGAUCUUCGAUCGCGAAGAUGGCUGCUGGCUGCCUGCUGGCCUUGACUCUGACACUUUUCCAAUCUUUGCUGAUCCGCCCCUCGUCGGAGGAGCCGUUCCCUUCGGCCAUCACUAUCAAAUCGUGGGUGGAUAAGAUGCAGGAAGACCUUGUCACGCUGGCGAAAACAGCAAGUGGAGUCAAUCAGCUUGUUGAUAUUUAUGAGAAAUACCAAGAAUUGUAUACUGUGGAACCAAAUAACGCACGCCAGCUGGUGGAAAUUGCAGCCCGGGAUAUUGAAAAACUUCUAAGCAACAGAUCUAAAGCCUUGGUGCGCCUGGCUUUGGAAGCGGAGAAAGUUCAAGCAGCCCACCAGUGGAGGGAGGAUUUUGCAAGUAAUGAAGUUGUCUACUACAAUGCAAAGGAUGAUCUCGAUCCUGAAAAAAAUGACAGUGAGCCAGGCAGCCAGAGGAUAAAACCUGUUUUUAUCGAUGAUGCUAAUUUUGGACGACAAGUAUCCUAUCAGCAUGCAGCGGUCCAUAUUCCCACCGACAUCUAUGAGGGCUCAACAAUUGUAUUAAAUGAACUCAACUGGACAAGUGCCUUAGAUGAAGUUUUCAAAAAAAAUCGAGAUGAAGACCCUUCCUUGUUGUGGCAGGUGUUUGGCAGUGCCACAGGCCUGGCCCGAUAUUAUCCAGCUUCUCCAUGGGUUGAUAACAGCCGAACUCCAAACAAAAUUGACCUUUAUGAUGUACGCAGAAGACCAUGGUAUAUCCAAGGAGCUGCAUCGCCUAAAGACAUGCUUAUUCUGGUUGAUGUGAGUGGAAGUGUUAGUGGAUUGACACUUAAAUUGAUCCGAACAUCUGUCUCCGAAAUGUUGGAAACCCUCUCAGAUGACGAUUUUGUGAAUGUAGCUUCAUUUAACAGCAAUGCCCAGGAUGUAAGCUGUUUUCAGCACCUUGUACAAGCAAAUGUAAGAAAUAAGAAAGUACUGAAAGAUGCCGUGAAUAAUAUCACAGCAAAAGGAAUCACAGAUUAUAAGAAGGGCUUUAGCUUUGCUUUUGAACAGCUGCUCAAUUAUAAUGUUUCCAGAGCUAACUGCAAUAAGAUUAUCAUGUUGUUCACGGAUGGAGGAGAAGAGAGAGCACAGGAGAUAUUUGCCAAAUACAACAAAGACAAAAAAGUACGUGUAUUCACGUUUUCUGUUGGUCAACAUAAUUAUGACAGAGGACCUAUCCAGUGGAUGGCCUGUGAAAAUAAAGGUUAUUAUUAUGAAAUUCCUUCCAUUGGAGCAAUAAGAAUCAAUACUCAGGAGUAUUUGGAUGUUCUGGGAAGACCGAUGGUUUUAGCAGGAGACAAAGCUAAGCAAGUCCAAUGGACAAAUGUGUACCUGGAUGCGCUGGAACUGGGACUUGUCAUUACUGGAACUCUUCCGGUCUUCAAUAUAACUGGCCAAGUUGAAAAUAAGACAAACUUAAAGAACCAGCUGAUUCUUGGUGUGAUGGGAGUUGAUGUGUCUUUGGAAGAUAUUAAAAGACUAACACCACGUUUCACACUGUGUCCUAAUGGCUAUUAUUUUGCAAUUGAUCCUAAUGGUUAUGUUUUAUUACAUCCAAAUCUUCAGCCAAAGCCUAUUGGUGUAGGUAUACCAACAAUUAAUUUAAGAAAAAGGAGACCCAAUGUUCAGAACCCCAAAUCUCAGGAGCCAGUAACUUUGGAUUUCCUUGAUGCAGAAUUAGAGAAUGAUAUUAAAGUGGAGAUCCGCAAUAAAAUGAUAGAUGGAGAAAGUGGAGAAAAAACGUUCAGAACUCUGGUUAAAUCUCAAGAUGAGAGAUAUAUUGACAAAGGAAACAGGACAUAUACAUGGACUCCUGUCAAUGGCACGGACUACAGUUUGGCCUUGGUAUUACCAACCUACAGUUUUUACUAUAUAAAAGCCAAAAUAGAAGAGACAAUAACUCAGGCCAGAUAUUCAGAGACACUAAAGCCAGAUAAUUUUGAAGAAUAUGGCUAUACAUUCUUAGCACCAAGAGAUUACUGCAAUGACCUUAAAAUAUCAGAUAAUAACACCGAAUUUCUUUUAAAUUUCAAUGAGUUUAUUGAUAGAAAAACUCCAAACAACCCAUCUUGUAACACGGAUUUGAUUAAUCGGGUCUUGCUGGAUGCAGGUUUUACAAGUGAACUGGUCCAAAAUUAUUGGAGUAAGCAGAAAAACAUCAAGGGGGUGAAAGCACGGUUUGUUGUGACUGAUGGUGGCAUUACCAGAGUGUAUCCCAAAGAGGCUGGAGAAAAUUGGCAAGAAAACCCAGAAACCUAUGAGGACAGCUUCUAUAAAAGGAGUCUUGAUAAUGAUAACUACGUGUUCACUGCUCCCUAUUUUAACAAAAGUGGACCUGGUGCUUAUGAAUCAGGCAUUAUGGUAAGCAAAGCUGUAGAAAUAUAUAUCCAAGGAAAACUUCUUAAACCUGCAGUUGUUGGAAUUAAAAUUGAUGUAAAUUCCUGGAUAGAGAACUUCACCAAAACAUCGAUCAGGGAUCCGUGUGCUGGUCCAGUUUGUGACUGCAAAAGAAAUAGUGAUGUAAUGGACUGUGUAAUUCUCGAUGAUGGUGGGUUUCUUUUAAUGGCAAAUCAUGAUGAUUAUACUAACCAGAUCGGAAGAUUUUUUGGAGAGAUUGAUCCAAGUUUGAUGAGACACCUAAUUAAUAUAUCGGUCUAUGCUUUUAACAAAUCUUAUGAUUAUCAGUCAGUGUGUGAGCCCGGUGCUGCACCGAAACAAGGAGCAGGGCAUCGCUCGGCAUAUGUGCCAUCAAUAGCAGACAUAUUACACAUUGGCUGGUGGGCCACUGCAGCUGCCUGGUCUAUUCUACAGCAGUUUAUCUUGAGUCUGACCUUUCCACGACUCCUUGAGGCAGUUGAGAUGGAAGAUGAUGACUUUGCAGCCUCUCUGUCAAAGCAGAGUUGCAUUACUGAACAAACGCAGUAUUUCUUCGAUAAUGAUAGUAAAUCAUUCAGUGGUGUAUUAGACUGUGGAAACUGUUCCAGAAUCUUUCAUGUAGAAAAACUUAUGAACACCAACUUAGUAUUCAUAAUGGUUGAGAGCAAGGGGACGUGUCCUUGUGACACACGACUGCUCAUACAAGCAGAACAGACUUCUGAUGGUCCAGAUCCUUGCGAUAUGGUUAAGCAACCCAGAUACCGAAAAGGGCCUGACGUCUGCUUUGAUAACAAUGACUUGGAGGAUUAUACCGACUGUGGCGGCGUUUCCGGAUUAAAUCCCUCCCUGUGGUCCAUCAUUGGAAUCCAGUUUGUCCUUCUUUGGCUUUUAUCUGGCAUCAGGCACUGCCAGUUAUGACCUUCCAAAACCAAAUCUGCAUAAUUAAACUCCAGACCCUGCCAAAACAUGAGCCCUCAAAUGCAUUAACAUAGGGUCAACCAUGGAAUCAGCAGAGCAUUAGCUGGGCCCAUCACACGGCAUAAAACUAAGGCGCAGACUCCUAAGGCGCCCACUGGCUGCAUGUCAGGGUGCCAGAUCCUUAAACUUGUAUGAAUGUUGCAUUAUUCAUGUAUAACAUCAAAGCGAAACUUUAUAUGUGCUCUACUGGAAAAUUUGAGAGUUUGUUGUUGCACUGUAUGUGAUUAAUUGUAAAAGGGCUCCCCACACAACUGUUUGUGAAUCAUACAAAUUGUCUUGAUUUUGACCUGGAAUUUUGACUUACUGUAAUCCUUGUUCUUUAACCAAGAAAAUCUCUAGGGGAAAAGAUGUUUCUUUUUUGCCUUCCCUUAUUCUUCUGUUAAAAAUUACUUCCUGUUUUGAGUAGUUAUUAUUGAAAUAUAUAUAUAUAUAUAUAUAUAUAUAUAUAUAUAUAUAUAUAGAGAGAGAGAGAGAGGAUUAACAUUGAUGUAAUCUUUUGAAAUAGAUAUAAUGGUCAAUUUUCUAUUUUAAAAAAUUGCCAUGAAUAAAAUGCCUUAUGAAGAAUGGCUUCUCUGCCAAAAAUAUAAUACAAAUGAUGACCAAUUAAGUUUUGGUGGGGUGAUAAAUUGGUUAUUUGGAAAUAUAACUAGGAAAUUACUAAACUAAAGGUGCUUGAGGGUGAAAUUUGAAUGUGUGACAUAUUUCCUCCUAAAUGUAAGCCCUUAAUAAGUGCUUCAAUGUAACGUCCCUUUUGUUCACAGUAAAGUUAUGUAGUGCUAGCCAGAUAUUUCAACAUGCUCUAAGAAAAGCUUGUUGGGGGAGGGGAAAAUGUUUUUCUUGUGAUAAAUGAACUUUGGUUACCAAGGGUAUUUUGCAUGAUGCUGCUGCUAUUUUAACAUUUUGUUUUUCUCUUACUGUAGAGGAUAGUCCAUUGAAAAGUUAAAUGAGUGACAUCACUGUUACAUAAGAUUCUGAACCUUGCAGUGUAAUGCACUUAAGUCAUCUUUAAAAAUGUUGUAAAGCUACUCUGAAUAUACUGUGCAAUGUAAAUGCUGAAUGAUUGGGUUAGAUAAAUGGUGAAAUGGGAAUUAACAGAUUUUAUACAGAUUCGUGCUUUUGCCUGAAAGCCUAUGUACAGAUAUUUUAAGUACAUAAAUCAGAAUUGACACAUUUAUUUUUUGAAAAGUACAUAUAUGUUCUCAAUGAAGAUUCAUCCUAGGUUUCCUCUUUGUUCUUUUGAAUAGUGGCAUGUACAAUCCAAAAAUUUCUACUGCUGCUGCUACUUUUCCCUCCAUUUUUAAUGGUAUGAUCACUUGACCAAAAUUUCCAUGCAGAAUGAUGAGGGUUUUACAAUAAUCUGAACAAAUAGGAAACCUUGAAUCUAUAUGUAUGCACAUGAAUACUUGAUUAUGAAUAAUCAAAAUUGUUUUUAUACAGCCUCAUUGGUAAAAAUGGUUAGCAUAGUGAAUCAGAUAUUUCAUAAUAGAUUAAUAUGGAAGCAGAAUAUUAUUUAUGUUUUUAAAACUUAUUUUCAGGUGUAAACAGUAUUUGAAGAAAGGGUAAAAACAAUGAAUGUGUAACUCUAGUUGUAGUGAAUAAUUCUGCUGAAGGCUGGAAGUGUGCUGAUAUUUUUUAUGGUAAAAUGUAUUUGUUCUUUUUUUUUUUUUGAACAUGCCAAAUAUUGGUUUGUGUAUAUGCUGGAAAUUUUCUUAAAUAUCAUUUUUUAAGCCAAAAUCUUAUUAACAUUAUCCAGCAUGCUUUAAUAUGCUCACAUAUCAAACAUAUAAACAAUUCUUUAGCACAGCUUAAAAGAUAUAUUUGUUUUGUCUUUAGCUUUGCAUACAUUUGUAAUUUUCUCCUACUGCCAAUAUACCCUAGGUACCAUUUGCAUACAUUUCCUUACUUAAAAUAUUUUUUAUUUAAAAAUGGGCGAAGGGGGAAAUGGAUUCACUUUGCCAACUGUUGCUCUAGAGUUAACAUCAGUUACCAUUUCUAAUGCAUUGUUGUGAUUUUGUAGUCUCAUUUGUAACUGGUAUUGACAUUUUAGAAAACACCAAAGUGAUUUAAAAAAACAGAACUUCUCACUCUAGUAACAACGUUUAAAUCAUGUUGUUUGUUAAUUCAAUAUUUAAAUCUUAUUGUUAACUUUUGCUAGACUUUUAAAUCAUGAAAGUGUUGGGAAGGGGAUAUCAAAACAUAAAAUUAUGUUAAUUUGUGUAAAUAAGCAACACAUUGAAAAAAUUAAAUUGCUUCCAGCAUACAACAAACUACCUUAAAAUUAUCUUUAAAACCCAUUAAAUAUAUUUUCAUGGCUAAUGUCACUGAAAUUGUAUGUAUUCAUCAACUACAUUAUUGUUGUAUUAAUCAUGGUUAAAUGUGGCAUCUCUUGGCAGGGUCCUAUUUGAUUUCAUUUGCCAUCAAAAUAUACCUACAUGCAUGAGUCUUGCUAUGAUCCUUUACUUUCUGCUAUAAAUAAACUAAUAUAUUAGGACAGCCACAUGAUUAUAAAUUGGGUAAGAACGUGCGCUCUAAAAAUUGUUCUGAAUCCUAAUACUAGUCUCCAUGCCUUUAGUAGACUUACUAUUUUAUAAGACAGUAACAUUCAUCCCAUCAAAUUGUUAUAUUUAAUUUAGGAUUUUUCUGUGAGUUCUCAUUGUUGACAAGAGCUUAAAUUAUAGUAUAUUAUAAACAUUGAUUUUCAAAGACUAAACAGUACAAGAGAUCAAGAAAAAAAGCUUUUAAAACCUUCACUUAUUUAAUUUUUGCUAUCCUCAUGCAGCUUUAUGUAGUUUGCCAUUAAAAUAAAUUCAAAUAAGUCUUGCAUUGGUGUUGAGUUACAGGAGCAAAUUUUGCAUUAAUGGUUUUCUUCAUUUGAACAACCAGCAUUACUGCCAAACACCAAUCGUGGUCCAUAUUUGUAACAGGUUUUUAACAUGACAUAGCAAGUUUGAUUGAAGAGAUUUUUAGGUCCUGGGCCUAUAAGAUUUUAGUAUGAUCUUUUUUCAUGUUUCUAAUGCUUGAGGCAUUAUUGCUUAACUUGGAAAAAAACUAAACAGUGUUGCUGCCAUUUGUAAGUUUUCUUAUAAUAUUCCUUUUAUUAACUUUAAAAACUGGCCUUACUGGGUUCAAAUAGUCAGUAUCCCUUUUAAGUGGCCUUUGCAACCCAAGUGUUACUUGCUUAUUUGAUGCUCUUGUAUUUUCCAUCUCAUUUAAAUCUUCAUCUCCACCAAAGCUUAAAUUCUGUCUCAAUUUAAAACUCUAAACUAUUCCAUUGAUCAUGUCAGUUAAUAUUAAAAUAUCUAGAGGUAUAGAGUCUGAUCCAGUGAAAAAUGGAUGUAGUGAUUUCUUUAAGUGUAAAAUAGAAUGAUUAUUUCACUUGCUCACAAUUUCAAAUAUUCUAUUAUUAUCUGGAACUUGUAUUGUUUUCCCAUAGCAGAAUGUUAAUAUUGCUAAUAAUCAGUUUGCAUUUAUAUAAAGUGCAACUCAAUAAAUCAAAUGCAUCAAGUGUUGAAAAUAAUUCUAGAACUUCAAAGACUUAGACAACCCUUACCAAUAAUUUCAUGUACUUUACUCAUAUAGCUCAAGUAAUUCACUCGAAGAAAAUUCCUCUGAGACUAAUGGGAUACUGUCUUGUAUAGAUGCCAAUUGAGUUUACAGUGUGACCUGACAAAGCUAUCUUUUUUGUUGUGCUGUAUGAUUGUUGGAUCAUGCUUUUUAGGAUACUUUUAUUAAAAUGCUCAGUGUGCAUCCAUGCAAAAGGCCAAGAGGCUUUGUGAACAAAAGAUCUUUUCUCCCAUUUAUUAUGUUCUCUUGACACUUUUGUGGAAAUUAACUAGCCUGAUAAAAACAUUUUGUAAAAAUUUGUAUGAUACUGUUAUAAAAAAUAUUUAUAAUCCCAGAAAAUGUUGUGUUAAAUCUUGUGCAAAAACAGUAUAUUCAGAAUAAAAGUUUAUCAUUUAAAGUCAAAAAAAAAAAAAAA